GUGCCAGCCGCCGCGGUAAUACGGAGGGUGCAAGCGUUAUCCGGAAUCACUGGGCGUAAAGGGCGCGUAGGCGGCUAAAUAAGUCUGAUGUUAAAGCGUGGGGCUCAACCCCAUUAUGGCGUUGGAUACUGUUUAGCUAGACGACUGGAGAGGAAGGUAGAAUUACCAGAGUAGCGGUGGAAUGCGUAGAUACUGGUAGGAAUACCCAUAGCGAAGGCAGCCUUCUGGACAGUUAGUGACGCUGAGGCGCGAAAGUGUGGGGAGCAAACCGGAUUAGAUACCCGAGUAGUCC
This 292-nucleotide ribosomal RNA is filed under the name uncultured bacterium. RNAcentral's name for it is "partial 16S ribosomal RNA". It matches the Rfam family "Bacterial small subunit ribosomal RNA", at positions 505 to 796 of the family's 1533-position model. The record is from RNAcentral.